This 818-nucleotide long non-coding RNA is filed under the name Homo sapiens (human). Its description in RNAcentral is "HSALNT0254435". The record is from RNAcentral. Lineage: Eukaryota; Metazoa; Chordata; Mammalia; Primates; Hominidae.
UGGGGGUGGAGGGAUCUUUCUUAGACAUCCGCUUCAUUAGGGCAGAGGCCCCGGCUCGAGCUUCCCCUCAGGAAUAAACUCAGAGGCAGAACCUAAAAUCAAAAUGUUUAUUGGAGUGUUGUACAAAAAAGUUUCCAGUCAUAAAAUGUAUAUUACAAAUCAUUGGAAAAAAAAAAGAACACAUUAGGCAUGCAUCUUCUUAAAAACCGAAUCUCUGAAAUGAAAGUCCAUGCCAGCCCCAGCUGCAGCCCAGCUCCGUUUUUGCAGGUUGUGCUGUGACGCUCGCUGGACGCAGGGCUUGGAAGAGGCUGCAGGCGGCGACGCCCCAGGACUGAGGAGUCCCUCAGAUCUUUAACAAAGAACUGCCGCGUGCAGGCUUCAGACCAACCCCAGCCAAAGCCGCUGGCAUGAGGACAGGUGCAUGAUCGGAUUCUGGGUCAGCCCGCAGGCCUCCCGGCUCCUGGGCUCAGCGGGGCAGGCUUCAGCGUUAACCUGGCGCUGUGCACCCCAGAACCCGCGUUGGUCCAGCAGGCGUGGGCCUCCCCCCAGGGCUGGGUGGCGUCUGAUGCUUCGCAGGGAGGGCGCUAGGCUUCGAGUCACACGGCACGGGCUUACACAGAGGGAUGGUUUCGCAUCGUUCUAAGCGGCACACAGCUAAGCGUAUUUGGGGACAAAUGCAAAUUGUUUCCCAGGCCAUAAAUAACUUUUAAAAAUUUGAUUUUCUUAGUGUUUCCAAAGACUCAAUUCUCAAUGAACCUCCAAUUACCCACAGGCUGUCGGCAAAUCACAGACCAACUCCAGGAUACAGCUUUGCUCCU